Molecule: ribosomal RNA, 468 nt
Filed under: uncultured bacterium
Lineage: Bacteria
Description: partial 16S ribosomal RNA
Rfam family: Bacterial small subunit ribosomal RNA
Source: RNAcentral
GACGAACGCUGGCGGCGUGCCUAACACAUGCAAGUCGAACGGAAAGGCUCGGCUCUUGUUGGGUGCUCGAUUGGCGAACGGGUGAGUAACACGUGAGUAUCCUGCCCUUGACUUUGGGAUAACUUCUGGAAACUGGGGCUAAUACCGGAUAGGAGAUCCUGCUGCACGGUGGUGGUUGGAAAGUUUCGGCGGUUGGGGAUGGAAUCGCGGCUUAUCAGCUUGUUGGUGGGGUAGUGGAUUACCAAGGCGUUGACGGGUAGCCGGCCUGAGAUGGUGACCGGACACAUUACACCUGAGCUACGGCCCAGACUACUCUCGGACGCAACGGUGGAGAGUGUUACACAGUGGGCGGGGGCCAGAUGCGAUCAAGCCACGUGCGGGAUGACGGCCUUCGGGUUGUAAACCAAUGUCGCCUGAGACGAAGAGUGAGUGACGGUACCGGGUAAAGAAGCACCGGCUAACUACGUG